This 233-nucleotide ribosomal RNA is filed under the name uncultured bacterium. Its description in RNAcentral is "partial 16S ribosomal RNA". It matches the Rfam family "Bacterial small subunit ribosomal RNA", at positions 32 to 260 of the family's 1533-position model. The record is from RNAcentral.
AAUCAACGCUGGCGGCGUGCCUAACACAUGCAAGUCGAACGGGAAAGUGGAGCAAUCCAUGAGUAUAGUGGCGACCGGGUGAGUAACACGUGACUAACCUACCUUCAAGUGGGGAUAACCUCGGGAACCGGGGACGUAAUACCGCAUAACAUCUCUGUUAUGAGAAAGCAGAGAUCAAAGGAGUAAUUCGCUGGAAGAGGGGGUCGCGGCUGAUUAGCUAGUUGGUGGGGUAA